AGAGUUUGAUCAUGGCUCAGGACAACGCUGGCGGCGUGCUUAACACAUGCAAGUCGAACGGGCAGUGGCGGACGGGUGAGUAACGCGUGGAUAACCUGCCCAUCAGACAGGGAUAACACCGGGAAACUGGUGCUAAUACCGGAUAAUCCUUACGUAGAAGUAUUCACUGCUGAUGGAUGGGUCCGCGUCCCAUUAGCUAGUUGGCAGGGUAAAAGCCUACCAAGGCGACGAUCAGUAGCUGGUCUGAGAGGAUGAUCAGCCACACUGGAACUGGAAACGGUCCAGACUCCUACGGGGGGCAGCAGUAAGGGAUAUUGCACAAUGGGGGAAACCCUGAUGCAGCAACGCCGCGUGAGCGAGGUUCGUUGAGCUCUUUUCUGUGGGGGAAACCGCAGGAACAAGUCUCGGCAACUACGUGCCAGCAGCCGCGGUAACACGUAGGAGACGAGCGUUAUCCGGAUUCACUGGGCGUAAAGGGCAAGUAGGCGGUUGCAUAAGUUGGGCGUGACAAUCUCUGGCUUAACUAGGGAAGGACGUUCAAAACUAGGCAACUAGAGGGCAGGAGAGGAAAGCGGAAUUCCUAGUGUAGCGGUGGAAUGCUCAGAUACUAGGAGGAACACCGGUGGCGAAGGCGGCUUUCUGGUCUCACCUGACGCUGAGAGGCGAAAGCUAGGGUAGCGAACGGGCUUAGAUACCCCGGUAGUCCUAGCUGUAAACGGUGGAUACUGGGUAUUGGGGGCUAACAGCCUUCAGUGCCGAAGCAAACGCGUUAAGUAUCCCGCCUGGGGACUACGGCCGCAAGGUUAAAACUCAAAGGAAUUGACGGGGCCCGCACAAGCAGCGGAGCGUGUGGUUUAAUUCGAUGCAACACGAAGAACCUUACCUGGGUACAUGACAUAGAGGGAACCGAAAGGGGACCGUUCGAGUGUCAAGGUGCUGCAUGGCUGUCGUCAGCUCGUGCCGUGAGGUGUUAGGUUAAGUCCUGCAACGAGCGCAACCCCCGUUGCCAGUUAUACUUUUCUGGCGAGACUGCCGGUAUAUCACCGGAGGAAGGUGGGGAUGAUGUCAAGUCAGCAUGGCCUUUAUAUCCAGGGCUACACACACGCUACAAUGGUCGGUACAGAGGGCAGCAAAGUCGUGAGGCGGAGCGAUCCUUAAAGCCGGUCUCAGUUCAGAUUGCAGGCUGCAACCCGCCUGCAUGAAGUUGGAGUUGCUAGUAACCGCAGGUCAGCAAUACUGCGGUGAAUACGUUCCCGGGCCUUGCACACACCCCCGUC
RNAcentral lists this ribosomal RNA (1277 nucleotides) under uncultured Chloroflexota bacterium. Its description in RNAcentral is "bacterial SSU rRNA". It matches the Rfam family "Bacterial small subunit ribosomal RNA". The record is from RNAcentral. Lineage: Bacteria; Bacillati; Chloroflexota.